AGUGGAUGGGGAGCAACCUAGUUGUGCGUGUGUAAAGGUAGUGCCAAGAAAAGCGAUGAUCAUGUUGAAAAUCAAUUCCCGGUACCCGAAACCGACACAGGUGGGCAAGUAGAGAAUACUAAGGGGCGCGAGGUAACUCUCUCCAAGGAACUCGGCAAAAUGACCCCGUAACUUAGGGAGAAGGGGUGCCACCGAGAGGUGGUCGCAGUGAAGAGGCCCAGGCGACUGUUUAGCAAAAACAUAGGUCUCUGCAAACUCGAAAGAGGAUGUAUAGGGGCUGACGCCUGCCCAGUGCCGGAAGGUUAAAGAAGUUGGUCAGUUUUAGGAUGAAGCUAGCGACUGAAGCCCCGGUGAACGGCGGCCGUAACUAUAACGGUCCUAAGGUAGCGAAAUUCCUUGUCGGGUAAGUUCCGACCCGCACGAAAGGCGUAACGAUCUGGGCGCUGUCUCGGAGAGAGGCUCGGCGAAAUAGGAUUGUCUGUGAAGAUACGGACUACCUGCAUUUGGACAGAAAGACCCUAUGAAGCUUUACUAUAGCUUGGAAUUGUGUUCGGGCUUCCUGUGCGCAGGAUAGGUGGGAGGCGUAGAAGGUAUUCUUGUGGGGAUACUGGAGCCAACGGUGAGAUACCACUCUCAGGAGGCUAGAAUUCUAACUUAAUUAAGGACAGUUUCAGGUGGGUAGUUUGACUGGGGCGGUCGCCUCCAAAAAGGUAACGGAGGCGUACAAAGGUUCCCUCAGACUGGUUGGAAAUCAGUCGAAGAGUGCAAAGGCAGAAGGGAGCUUGACUGCGAGAAGUACAGUUCGAGCAGGGUGGAAACACGGUCUUAGUGAUCCGACGGUGCUGUGUGGAAGGGCCGUCGCUCAACGGAUAAAAGUUACUCUAGGAUAACAGGCUGAUCUCCCCCAAGAGUUCACAUCGACGGGGAGGUUUGGCACCUCGAUGUCGGCUCAUCGCAACCUGGGGCGGAAGUACGUCCCAAGGGUUGGGCUGUUCGCCCAUUAAAGCGGUACGUGAGCUGGGUUCAGAACGUCGUGAGACAGUUCGGUCCAUAUCCGAUGUAGGCGUGAGAAUAUUGAGAGGAGCCUUCCUUAGUACGAGGGGACCGGGAAGGACGCACCGCUGGUGUACCUGUUAUGAUGCCAAUUGUAAACGCAGGGUAGCCAAGUGCGGAGAGGAUAACCGCUGAAAUCAUCUAAGUGGGAAGCCCACCUCAAGAUGAGUAUUCUGGUGUAAGGUCACGGGAAGACGACCCGUAAAUAGGCACGAGGUGGAAGUGCAGAGAUGUAUGAAGCCGAAGUGUACUAAUAGACCGUCGGCUUGACC
This 1325-nucleotide ribosomal RNA is filed under the name metagenome. RNAcentral's name for it is "bacterial LSU rRNA". It matches the Rfam family "Bacterial large subunit ribosomal RNA", at positions 1561 to 2925 of the family's 2925-position model. The record is from RNAcentral.